Phyllostomus hastatus (greater spear-nosed bat) is the source of this 421-nucleotide non-coding RNA. The record is from the annotation of a RefSeq genome assembly. NCBI's taxonomy places the organism in Eukaryota, Metazoa, Chordata, Mammalia, Chiroptera, Phyllostomidae.
CUGCACCUGCAGAGCCCUGUGAGGAGCCUUCCCGUGUGAGUCCAUCCCCAGUGUCCACACCAUGGGGUCUGCACUCCUCUGGGCUUCCCUCCUCAUCGCUGUCAAAGGUGCCCUGUGCGAGGUUCAGCUGGUGGAGUCUGGGGGAGGCUUGGUGCAGCCUGGAGGGUCUCUCAGCCUGUCCUGCAAAGCCUCUGGAUUCACCUUCACUGACUACAGCAUGAACUGGGUCCGCCAGGCUCCAGGGAAGGGGCUGGAGUGGGUGGCAGGAGUUAGUCAACCAUCUGGAAAAAAUCAGUGGUAUGCUCCAUCAGUUCAGGGAAGAUUCACCAUCUCCAGAGACAACCCUACCAACACAGUCUCUCUUAAAAUGACCAACCUGAAAACUGAAGACACGGCCGUGUAUUACUGUACUAGAGACACA